GUCUACAGCCAUGCCACCUUGAACAAGCCCGAUCCCGUCUGAUCUCGGAAGCUAAGCAGGGUCGGACCUGGUUAGUACUUGGAUGGGAGACCACCUAGGAAGACCAAGUGCUGUAGGCG
Molecule: ribosomal RNA, 119 nt
Filed under: Pteropus alecto (black flying fox)
Lineage: Eukaryota; Metazoa; Chordata; Mammalia; Chiroptera; Pteropodidae
Source: RNAcentral